Oncorhynchus nerka (sockeye salmon) is the source of this 961-nucleotide long non-coding RNA. RefSeq lists it as uncharacterized. The transcript has 3 exons. Lineage: Eukaryota; Metazoa; Chordata; Actinopteri; Salmoniformes; Salmonidae. The record is from RefSeq and is a predicted model, not a curated record.
CACAGAGUUGUAAAGUCUAGUUACAGCAGGUGUUUACUGCCAUCUAGUGGAAGAUACCAAUAUAACACUUUAUUAUCAGGGUGGGGAGGCGGCUGAGCUGAAACAGAAAGUAAAGUUGUUCUUUUGUUCAGGAUCCAUUUUGAGACGACAGAGCAGAAAACACUAUAUGGAGAUUAUUGAAAAAUAAAAUAAAGGGUCCGGUUAGCCCUGACCAUUAUCCGUUUCCAAUUCACCAACUCAAAGACGCCCGCUCCAUCAUAACUCCGGGAAAGAGGAGCUGCUUCCCCCAGAGAGAGAGGAGCUGCUAUCCAUGGGGAGAGAGGAGCUGCUACCCCUGGUGGGAGAGGAACUGCUACUCCUGGUUAGAGAGGAGCUGCUACCCCUGGGGUGAGAGGAGCUGGGAGGAGCUGCUACCCCUGGGGAGAGAGGAGCUGCUACUCCUGGUGAGAGAGAGGAGCUGCUACCCCUGGGGAGAGAGGAGCUGCAACCAGGAGAGACUGCGACCCUGCUCGGGAAGAGCUUAACGAUUGGUGUUUGCUGGGGCACAUUUGGCAGGACCUUCAGUGAUGAAGACUGCUGAACAUAUGUUUCACAAUAUGCCAUGGCCGUCUCAGUCACCAGGUCUCAACACAAUUGAACACAACCAUCAACAAAACACCAAAUGAUGGAAUUUCUUGUGGAAUAAUGAUGUCACAUCCCUCCAAUAGAGUUCCAGACAGUUGUAGAAUGUAUUCCAAGGCACAUUGUAAGAGCUGUAAAAAGAGAGGGAGGGAGAGAGAACAGGCAGAACCUGAUAUGUAAAUGAGCAGAGCAAACAAAAGCAACUUUCGACGACCGAAUGAUCAUUCAGACUCUGUUUCUAUUGAGAGAUAAAAGGUAAGACAACGAUUGUUAUGUGUAUUCAUAUAGUUGAUGAUAUUGUUAUGUGUAUUCAUAUAGUUGAUGAUAUUGUUGUGUGUAU